Molecule: ribosomal RNA, 301 nt
Filed under: uncultured bacterium
Lineage: Bacteria
Description: partial 16S ribosomal RNA
Rfam family: Bacterial small subunit ribosomal RNA
Source: RNAcentral
CAGUCGCCACGGUAAUACGGAGGGUGCAAGCGUUAUCCGGAUUUAUUGGGUUUAAAGGGUCCGUAGGCGGACUUAUAAGUCAGUGGUGAAAGCCUGUCGCUUAACGAUAGAACUGCCAUUGAUACUGUAAGUCUUGAGUAUAUUUGAGGUAGCUGGAAUAAGUAGUGUAGCGGUGAAAUGCAUAGAUAUUACUUAGAACACCAAUUGCGAAGGCAGGUUACCAAGAUAUAACUGACGCUGAGGGACGAAAGCGUGGGUAGCGAACAGGAUUAGAUACCCCCGUAGUCCCUGUCUCUUAUAA